UACGUAGGGGGCAAGCGUUGUCCGGAUUUACUGGGCGUAAAGAGCGUGUAGGCGGCCAUACAGGUCCGUUGUGAAAACUGGAGGCUUAACCUUCAGACGUCGACGGAAACCGUGUGGCUAGAGUCCGGAAGAGGAGAGUGGAAUUCCUGGUGUAGCGGUGAAAUGCGCAGAUAUCAGGAAGAACACCAAUGGCGAAGGCAGCUCUCUGGGACGGUACUGACGCUGAGACGCGAAAGCGUGGAGAGCGAACAGG
Molecule: ribosomal RNA, 253 nt
Filed under: uncultured bacterium
Lineage: Bacteria
Description: partial 16S ribosomal RNA
Rfam family: Bacterial small subunit ribosomal RNA
Source: RNAcentral